AAUUUCUCUUAUUAACUCAAAAAAAUUAUUGUUUUAUUUUAUUCUCUCUCUACCUCCUCUCACUCUCUUUCUAGUAUAACUAUAUAACCAUUAGCCCCAUCGUUUUAUCAACAAUAAGUCCAUCAUUAGUACCGUCGUCACUUAUGUUUUUCGGUCAUUAAUCUAUCACCUCUACUACGAUAUGAUGAGUUUCAAUAUUAAGUUUUACUAAAUUUUAUGAACAAGGGGUGAGUUUUGUCAUUAUUGAUGAUAUUGAUUUUGAUUUUGUAAGAAAAUCUUUGAUUUUGUUUCAUUUCAAUUUGGGAUUUGAUUAGGAGUUAAUAUUUGAUUCAAAUUGUCAAUCAAUUAAAAGAUUAUAGAAAUGAGAAUUUAAUUGAGAAUGUAAGAGAGAUUAAAAAUAUUUAUGUUUUAAUGAUUUUUAUUUUUCAAUAAGAAUAAUUUUAAAAUAAAUAAUAUUAAUUAAAAAAUAGUAGCUAAUGAAAUAAAUUGAAGAGAUCAAUAUCACCACUCAAAAAGAUAAUUGAGAGGUGUUUACUCUUAUGUCGCAGGCCCAUUACAUUUUUCCAAUAAGCGGAGCUUAACAGCACAUUACAUUUUAAUAAGCUCAUAAAAGUUAAUGCAUUAACGGCCCGCGUUAAGUUUUAAACGAAAAAGAGCAUGUGAUUCACAUUUACUUAUUUGUUUUAUUUCCUUAAUGCUCUAUUUGCUUUCUAAAUUCGGAAUCGAAAUCUAGAAUGAAUCAUUGAUAAUAUUUACUUUAUAAAUUAAGAUUUAAAAUUGGAAUCGAAUGGUGAGCCCCAUCUAAAUUUGGGAUUAAAAAUGAAAGACUGAUUCCCAGUUUAAGAAGAUCAAAUUUGCCUCUAUUAAAAUUUCAAAAUGCCAAAGAUAUCUUCCAUUCAAUUAAAAAAAUAUAAAUAUAAAAUGGAAACAAUUUGAACCCUUGAAGCCACUAUCACAACUAAGAGGAAGCCUCCAUCGAAUCCUCACAAAACAAGCCUCCAUUGUAGCCAAGAGGUAGCCUCCAUCAAACCCCUGCAACAAGCCUCUAUCACAGCCAACCAAACAUUUUUCACCGUCAUCGCUGGUUACAUCGUUGGAGGUCACUGUAUCACAGCUUCGGAUCAAGAUCUAGUUCCAUUGUCGCCUCUAUUUGGGCAUGUCUUCACCGUCACUGGCAUCUCUUCAUCGUUUGUCUACCCCCAUUUUGUUGUUGUCGCUGUUGUUGCAAUGAUGAUGAUUUUGAUUAUUAUUAUUUGAUUAUUAU
Molecule: long non-coding RNA, 1264 nt
Filed under: Citrus x clementina
Lineage: Eukaryota; Viridiplantae; Streptophyta; Magnoliopsida; Sapindales; Rutaceae
Description: Citrus clementina (C. clementina) long non-coding RNA (CCLE_LNC005710)
Source: RNAcentral